UAGUGACAGGGACCAGAGCAGGAGAGCCCAGAAAAGAACCAGUUAAUCUCUUUGCAGAGUCCUGUGGAAACAGGCAGCAAUCUUUUUUUUACCCUGUGCUGAAGGGGAAAUAGAAAAAAUCCCAGUCAUGGCAAAUGAUGGAAUAAACACAGACCCCUCAUUUGAGAAACAAACUGGGUUUCUCUCUGCUUGCUUUUCAUUCAGCUGCUCCUCCUCAUUUCCAUCUUUCUCAGCACCUCCCCUCCAAAAUCCUGCAGUCUUCCUGUCCCAGAAAUCAGAUUUUUUUUUUUUCCCCCUUUAUUUCAGCUACAAGACUCCAGCAAAACCUGAUGGCGUUAAUUAUAUCCGGACAGAUGAUGAGGGCGACUUCAGACACAAGUCUUCGUUCGUCAUAUAGGACACCAAAAGAAUACUGCAAAACCAGCAAAAGCAAGUGUGAAAAUACCUCCUCCAGGAACUCAAAGCAAGAGCAAAAGAUUAAUUAAGUGCGCUUGGAAGAGUUUGGAACACACAAGAACUCGAUAGCUAGCUAUCUGUAUAUCUUUUUUUUCUUUGCCAAAGUUUAAAGUAACUCCUCACUGCCCAACUCGCGUCUCCCCUGCCUCCGGAGAUACCAACAGGAUCACCUAAACCUGCCCUUGGACUAAGGAAGUGUUUUAAUACUUCCCAAGAGACUGGGCUGUGGAAGUUUGUGGCAUUGCCUUCUAUUUGUGCUGCAGGGACACGGCCACAAUGUGCAAACCACCCAGGGGGACAGCAUUAGGUAAACGUGUAGUAGACAUUGCUAGUACGUGUUACUAGUAGACAAAAAAAAGGUGCUGAUACAGGAGUAGAUGGACUUCAAAGAGUGAGACUUAUCCAUGCAAGGGGGGGGGUCUUCCUCCCAGCAGCUCAUUGCCCAGGCCUGGCUGGUGACUUCUACACAUUUGUGUGUAAAAGAUUGUCCUGUGCUCGACUCUGACUGCUCAGGAGCAGGGGGGUGUCUCUGAACAGCCGACAGCGAACACCACUAAUGUUCUCAGCCCCUGUGUAAACCUAAUUCUUGUUGUUUAACAUGAUGACCCACCAGGCCAGGAUUGCUUCUGUUCCCUGCUUUGUAGAGAACUCACUGCACGCAGGUAACCCCUCCAUCUAAUCUGCACAAAGCAGACUUGCCUCCUGAGUCUUUCCGUGCUGAAAGAGGCUUAGAGGGGAGGCACAGAACGAGUGCUAAGACAUCCCUUUCAGGAAAAUUAAAGCCAAAUACUUUUCCUAGGCUGAGAUUGCCAUAAAAGGUACUGAGAUAUCUUCCAGCUUUUUUUACCUUCUCCGUUUCUUUUGUAGAACCCCACGUUCUAAAUUUUUUGCAAAGAUCUAUUUUGAUUACUUCAGAAAAAGGUAACAUUUCUAUUUAAAGUGUAAAUACGUGAUGCCAGCAGUGUUUCAGUAAUGGAGCUAUUUUUUUACUGUUGAAGCUACAGAGAGGAGCUCAACUGUUGCUAUAAUAUGGCACUGUCAGAGCAUAUCAGUAUUAGUGCAAACUGUAUUAAAAAUCUGCAGGUGGAACAGCAUCUCUUUCCUCUUAAACCAGCUUCAGCCAUUUCCUUGUCACAAGAGGUCUUACCAGACACAGAACAGAGUCACUCAGGGAUAGUUUUUGUAAAUUUACGGCAGGAGCUAUCAACUUUUUUUUUUUUAUACAGAAAACUUCUCUUGCCAGUGACCAACACUUUGUUUUUGUUGUUGCAAGAAAUAUCCAGGGAUGGCUAUUUUGGAUUCAGUUCCAACGAGGUGACAGAGUGACUUCAAUGUUUGCUGCCCCUCUGCAAGUUCCCUAAAGCACUAACACAGUGUGACAGCUACAGCAACCCGACAGGUUUAAAACUACACGGCCAAGGCCACUGUUUCUGGAGUUGGGAAAGCAAAAGCACGACACAAAAGCACUUUCAUGGUGUCAGUUGAAACUUUUCUCUAGGUGGUAAAAGAAAAAAAAAAAAAAAAUUAAUUUGGUUCUUUUUGGCUUGAGAGAGAAUAGCUGGAAACACAUGAAGACACCCACGUUGGUGGUGUUGAACGACAAUGGGUGAUACAAGAUGUGGAUGCAACACUAGAACUGUGCUGUGGUUUAAGAAGUUUUUUAAUGUAGCAUAAUUUAGUGUUCUUGUAUUUGCAAUAUAAAUUGAGUUGUCUUAACUUUUCCUGUAUACAGUAUUUUGGAUACUUGACGAUUUGGACUGUCAGUGUUAUUUUUUAGUGUUCUGCAUUACUCUGCUUUGUUUCCUAAGGCCCUCGCUGGACAUGCCAUUGCUGCAUUUGUUUUGCCUAAACAAAGCAUUUCCACUUGUCCUUCUGCUGAUGAAAGUAAAAGUAAGGAUGGGGCAGCAAUAACCAGAUGUUCUCUGUGUAAUUCAGGCAUUACCACUGCUCUUUUGCAACCAUACUCUGGUUUCCUUCUUAAGACAAGCUCUUCAGCCAAGCCAGCCAGUCCUGAUUGCUGCCUCUAAUCAUUCUGACAUUCCUUUGCACCCUCUGGAUAUCCACUGCUCCUUCUCUGUGCUGCUGCAAGGAUACCUGUAAUAAGGGAGAGAGAGGAAAGGGAUGGAUCAGGGUAGCUCUGGGCACUAUGGGAGCACAAUCCCCAGUCUCACCAGGCAGCCUUCCUGUGAAAAACCAGCAAAGCUAAGAAUCAAACCUUCCAUUAUUUUCAGUUCUAAAAUGCACAGUGGCAUCUCUAACGAGAGAAGGGGAGGUGGUCCCCCUCCCCAUACAGCUCGUGGGAGCUGAUGGAUGGAAUUCAUUGUAUUGUUGUGAAUAAUAUUCAGGUUUGUACUAAUGUAUUACGUUUAACUUUGCCAAGAAUGUUUUACAUAAAUACCAAGCUAUGAAGCA
This is a long non-coding RNA of Corapipo altera (White-ruffed manakin), 2868 nucleotides long. RefSeq lists it as uncharacterized. The transcript is spliced from 2 exons. The record is from RefSeq and is a predicted model, not a curated record. Lineage: Eukaryota; Metazoa; Chordata; Aves; Passeriformes; Pipridae.